GCUUUUUGGAUUCUAUUACCAGAAAGUAACAAGCUUUUCUUCAUCUUUUAAAGUCAAGAUCUAAAGAAUGUUAGCGUAUUGUGAAGCAAUUAUUUAUUCCAAUUAAGAUAAAAGGUAUACAGUUCAAGGGAUUUAGUAUUACCAUUAAAAAUGAUAGACAAAUGGAUAUAUUUUAGGAUUAAAUCUUUUUAAGUUCUAUUAGUGUGAUAUAGCCUGGUGGGAGAGCAAGGGUUACUACAAUUCCAUUAUUUUGGAGUUAAACCUUAAAUAGUGAGCACACACAUUCCUCUAAAGAUUAAGAAGCAUUUCCUUUCAUACUUGAUUUGCCACAUGGAGUUGAUUACUUCUAAAUUUGAUUCGACUCUUAUAGAGUAAGCCUCAUCAGUUCCAGGGGAGAACUCUAAAGCUUUGACUUUAAUGCCUCAGAAUGGUGCUACAUGUAAAUUAAGUUAAUGUGUAGUCAUCUCUAUAGAUUUGAAUUCUCAGGAAAAUAACGUCUUACAAUAUUUCUUUUUCCUGUAAUAAAUGACCUGUAAUAAAUUUCCUAUAAGGAAUCCAUAACCAGCAAUAUCAGAAUGAGUACAAAAUUUAAUGUUGUCAUAUACAUUGUUUUUGAACUUCAGUAUAGUUAGUAAAUGCUAUUGAAAUCUUAUGGAACUUAAAUAUUGCAUUAUAAUCCAUGAUUACAAUAACAAGAGGUUUAAGUCAUAUAUAAGAAAAGUGAAUCUUUUAUCUCCAUAUUUGUUAAAACAUAUAUAGGCCAGACAUUUCUUCAGACUUCAUUUCCUCAGAGAGAACUUCUCUGAAUAUCCCAAUUACCCUCGUUUGUCAUUUACCCUGCCUUAAUUUUUUUGUCAGCGCUUAGUUUUACUGAUGAUAUAUUAUAUAUUAAUCAUUUUAUUUUUAAUCUCACUAGAAUAAGAUUUUGAGUUACUACGGUAUGUCUAGUACUUUUCUCAAUUGAUAUUUGUUAACUGAAUGUAUAAAUGCAUGAUAAUAUAUGCCAAUGAAGGGCCCUUUAUUUGGAGUUAGACAACAUUGGUUGGCAUGACUAUUAAUAAUGGCAAAAGGUGAAGGACUAUUGAUAAUAACCUUGUCUAUAAAAUAAAAUAUGAAUGAUGUCAUUUACUAGGAUUGUUGGUUGAACAUAUCAAAUGAGCCCCAAUGAAAGUACUGUAUACAAUGUUCGAGUUUACUGAUUGUUAGCAUUGUCAUUGCUUUGACUUCUUUUUUUGAACCAGUUAAACUAUCUUUAAAUUUGAUCACAUUCUUUAAAUUAUUUUGUUUUCCAAAAGGAGGAGACAAAUUUAACUGCCUUAGGUAUAUUUAUUUAAUUCAUAUAUCAUCUACUAUUUGACUAAACAUAUAAACAAAAAAUAGACUGGGCAAGAUUUAAAAAUUGGACUCUGUCACAUCUCUAUAGCACUAAUCACUUUCUUUAGAGGCAUAUAUUUUCUAAAGAUUUAUAAUAUAUGCAUAUAUGUUAUAUUAAGUAUCAAAAGAAAACAGAAAAAAUAGAUUGUCGAGGUAGGUAUAAACAUAGAUUCCUGAGUAAUGAAGAAUGCUCUAUCUAUUUAGAUACCUAAAAAAUACAAGAAUGGAGGAUUGGGGGUUAAUGAGAUAUAUAGAAGAGAAAAUUUAUGUACUUAUGAGUGUGAUCAUAAAACAGGUAGAUCUUUGCUUUUUAUAAUAAUGCUUAUGAGAGAGAAUUAUUCAGAGAGUAGACUUUCCACAAUGAAUGAAUAUGACCUAUCUCAUACGCGUCAGCCAACUUAAAUAUGUAGUCACCUUACCCCUAUUUUUGCAUGAAGUGACCAAAAACAAAGUGACCAUGGUGGUAGAGAUUACCUGAGCCCAAUAAGAAUGAAUGAGCCUCUCAACAAAGAUGGUAGAGCUACUGUCACUGCUGUAUGUAAGAUUUGCCAACAAAAGAGACCAAAAAUGGGCCUUCAAUAUGGCACAAUUCUUUGAAGAGAGUAGGUCUCAUGUUGGUUACAUAGGACUUCUACCCUGGAAGGUACAAAUAUUCAUCUUUAGCAGAUUUAGUAUUUAUUCAGAAUAUAGAUUUACCUUUUCUG
Molecule: long non-coding RNA, 2078 nt
Filed under: Canis lupus familiaris (dog)
Lineage: Eukaryota; Metazoa; Chordata; Mammalia; Carnivora; Canidae
Description: lncRNA (ENSCAFG00000052864.1, ENSCAFG00805012708.1, ENSCAFG00845016858.1)
Source: RNAcentral